This 498-nucleotide ribosomal RNA is filed under the name uncultured bacterium. RNAcentral's name for it is "partial 16S ribosomal RNA". It matches the Rfam family "Bacterial small subunit ribosomal RNA", at positions 30 to 523 of the family's 1533-position model. The record is from RNAcentral.
AUUGAACGCUGGCGGCAUGCCUUACACAUGCAAGUCGAACGGUAACAGGUCUUCGGAUGCUGACGAGUGGCGAACGGGUGAGUAAUACAUCGGAACGUGCCUAGUAGUGGGGGAUAACUACUCGAAAGAGUGGCUAAUACCGCAUGAGAUCUACGGAUGAAAGCAGGGGAUCGCAAGACCUUGUGCUACUAGAGCGGACGAUGGCAGAUUAGGUAGUUGGUGGGAUAAAAGCUUACCAAGCCGACGAUCUGUAGCUGGUCUGAGAGGACGAUCAGCCACACUGGGACUGAGACACGGCCCAGACUCCUACGGGAAGCAGCAGUGGGGAAUUUUGGACAAUGGGCGCAAGCCUGAUCCAGCAAUGCCGCGUGCAGGAUGAAGGCCUUCGGGUUGUAAACUGCUUUUGUACGGAACGAAAAGCCCUGGGUUAAUACCCUGGGGUCAUGACGGUACCGUAAGAAUAAGCACCGGCUAACUACGUGCCAGCCGCCGCAGUAA